Molecule: ribosomal RNA, 468 nt
Filed under: uncultured bacterium
Lineage: Bacteria
Description: partial 16S ribosomal RNA
Rfam family: Bacterial small subunit ribosomal RNA
Source: RNAcentral
GACGAACGCUGGCGGCGUGCUUAACACAUGCAAGUCGAACGGAAAGGCCCUGCUUUUGUGGGGUGCUCGAGUGGCGAACGGGUGAGUAACACGUGAGUAACCUGCCCUUGACUUUGGGAUAACUUCAGGAAACUGGGGCUAAUACCGGAUAGGAGCUCCUGCUGCAUGGUGGGGGUUGGAAAGUUUCGGCGGUUGGGGAUGGACUCGCGGCUUAUCAGCUUGUUGGUGGGGUAGUGGCUUACCAAGGCUUUGACGGGUAGCCGGCCUGAGAGGGUGACCGGCCUCCUUGGGACUGAGAUACGGCCCAGACUCCUACGGGAGGCAGCAGGGGGGAAUAUUGCACAAUGGGCGGAAGCCUGAUGCAGCAACGCCGCGUGCGGGAUGACGGCCUUCGGGUUGUAAACCGCUUUCGCCUGUGACGAAGCGUGAGUGACGGUAAUGGGUAAAGAAGCACCGGCUAACUACGUG